GGAAUUUUCCGCAAUGGGCGAAAGCCUGACGGAGCAACGCCGCGUGAGGGAUGAAGGCCUCUGGGCUGUAAACCUCUUUUCUCAAGGAAGAAGAACUGACGGUACUUGAGGAAUAAGCCACGGCUAAUUCCGUGCCAGCAGCCGCGGUAAUACGGGAGUGGCAAGCGUUAUCCGGAAUUAUUGGGCGUAAAGCGUCCGCAGGCGGCCUCGUAAGUCUGUCGUUAAAGCGUGGAGCUUAACUCCAUUUGAGCGAUGGAAACUGUGAGGCUUGAGUGUGGUAGGGGCAGAGGGAAUUCCCGGUGUAGCGGUGAAAUGCGUAGAUAUCGGGAAGAACACCAGUGGCGAAGGCGCUCUGCUGGGCCAUAACUGACGCUCAUGGACGAAAGCCAGGGGAGCGAAAGGGAUUAGAUACCCCUGUAGUCCUGGCCGUAAACGAUGAACACUAGGUGUCGGGGGAAUCGACCCCCUCGGUGUCGUAGCCAACGCGUUAAGUGUUCCGCCUGGGGAGUACGCACGCAAGUGUGAAACUCAAAGGAAUUGACGG
RNAcentral lists this ribosomal RNA (544 nucleotides) under uncultured bacterium. RNAcentral's name for it is "bacterial SSU rRNA". It matches the Rfam family "Bacterial small subunit ribosomal RNA", at positions 358 to 916 of the family's 1533-position model. The record is from RNAcentral.